AUGAAUGGAGAACUAUCUCCUUCACAAAGAAGAAAAGGAACCAAUCAAAGGUGAAACAGAAACCUCAAUCCCAAAAUCCAAGUAAAAAGUAUCUCUCAAUUCAAACAUCAAUGUAGAAAUGUUGAUGCCAUCCUAGGUACAUCACUGGAAGACCAAAUCUUCUAUUUCAAAUCACCUAAGGUUAACCAGAACGAGAAUGCUUUUAGCAAUGGUAAGAGAAAGGGGAGAGAAGAG
RNAcentral lists this long non-coding RNA (234 nucleotides) under Capsicum annuum. RNAcentral's name for it is "long non-coding RNA (CANN_LNC020708)". Lineage: Eukaryota; Viridiplantae; Streptophyta; Magnoliopsida; Solanales; Solanaceae. The record is from RNAcentral.